AUUUACAGUUUCUUUUGUUACUACUUACAGAUACAGGAAGUUCCUGACCUAUCUACAGAGUCUUUACAGUCGACGUGAGAGUUGGGCUCUCAGCUAUAGGAGGGACUUGCCAACACGUGGCAACCAAACAAAUAACUAUGUGGAGGCUGCAAUGCGUGUCUUGAAAGACAAAAUACUUCAAAGGACAAAAGCAUUCAACCUGCCUCAAUUAUUCAACCUUUUCAUCACCCGACUAGAGAUGUACUAUAAAGCACGUGUGACAGACGUUGCACUUGGCCAUUGGGAGGCAUUCCACCGGUCAAGAUUACUUGCUACACAAAGUAAUAUAAAAGCAUCUGAUAUUUCUCAGGUUGGAGAAAAGACAUUUCAGGUGAGAUCGUCCACAUCAGGGCACACCUAUACAGUGGACAUGGAGUUGGAGCUCUGCACUUGUCCAGUUGGCCAUAGUGGGGCACCAUGCAAACACCAGGCAGCAGUAGUGCAAAAUUACAACAUCACCUCCAUCAACUUUCUCCCCACAACAGCUGAAAUGAGGGCUAAGCUGCUGAAAAUAACAAAAGAGUCACAUCAGCUGGACCUGUCUUCCACCAGCUCUGCACAAUUGCGCCAAACAUCACCUAUGCAAGAGGACUCAUACUCCAACCAACCCUGUGUACAGGUUAACUCAGAGGGAGGUGAGACCAUGAAGCUUAGAGUUAUAUUAAAAAUUCUGUCUAGAUGUUUAUUUGGGCCAAGCACCUUUUUCUAAGUUUUCCCCCCCAAUGUUUCGGGGCAUUUUGGGGUCCUUAAAGGGAUAGUUCACCCUAAAAUGGUUAUUGGUUGGUAAUCAAACAGUUGCUGGUAGCCAUCGACUUCCAUAAUACUUUUCCCAUGCUAUGUAAGUUUGGAACAACAUUAUGGUGAGUAAAUGAUGACAGAUCUUUUUUUUUAUUUAUUUUUUUUAC
RNAcentral lists this long non-coding RNA (944 nucleotides) under Sinocyclocheilus grahami. RNAcentral describes it as "lncRNA (ENSSGRG00000017660.1)". The record is from RNAcentral. Lineage: Eukaryota; Metazoa; Chordata; Actinopteri; Cypriniformes; Cyprinidae.